This 253-nucleotide ribosomal RNA is filed under the name uncultured bacterium. Its description in RNAcentral is "partial 16S ribosomal RNA". It matches the Rfam family "Bacterial small subunit ribosomal RNA", at positions 524 to 776 of the family's 1533-position model. The record is from RNAcentral.
UACGUAGGUGGCAAGCGUUAUCCGGAUUUAUUGGGCGUAAAGAGAACGCAGGCGGUCUUUUAAGUCUGAUGUGAAAGCCUUCGGCUUAACCGGAGUAGUGCAUUGGAAACUGGGAGACUUGAGUGCAGAAGAGGAGAGUGGAACUCCUAGUGUAGCGGUGAAAUGCGUAGAGAUUAGGAAGAACACCAGUGGCGAAGGCGAUUCUCUGGACUGUAACUGACGCUGAGGCUCGAAAGCGUGGGGAGCAAACAGG